AUACGUAGGGGGCAAGCGUUAUCCGGAUUUACUGGGUGUAAAGGGAGCGUAGACGGCAGUGCAAGUCUGAAGUGAAAUCCCGGGGCUUAACCCCGGAACUGCUUUGGAAACUGUGCAGCUGGAGUGCAGGAGAGGUAAGCGGAAUUCCUAGUGUAGCGGUGAAAUGCGUAGAUAUUAGGAGGAACACCAGUGGCGAAGGCGGCUUACUGGACUGUAACUGACGUUGAGGCUCGAAAGCGUGGGGAGC
Molecule: ribosomal RNA, 247 nt
Filed under: uncultured bacterium
Lineage: Bacteria
Description: partial 16S ribosomal RNA
Rfam family: Bacterial small subunit ribosomal RNA
Source: RNAcentral